UACGAGAGGCCCGAGCGUUAGGCGGAAUCACUGGGCUUAAAGGGUGCGUAGGCGGACGUGCAAGCGUGUUGUGAAAGCCCUCGGCUCAACCGAGGAAUCGCGGUAUGAACUGCACGUCUUGAGGCAGGUAGGGGCCAGCGGAACGUUCGGUGGAGCGGUGAAAUGCGUAGAUAUCGAACGGAACGCCGAUGGUGAAGACAGCUGGCUGGGCCUGUCCUGACGCUGAGGCACGAAAGCUAGGGGAGCAAACAGG
RNAcentral lists this ribosomal RNA (253 nucleotides) under uncultured bacterium. RNAcentral describes it as "partial 16S ribosomal RNA". It matches the Rfam family "Bacterial small subunit ribosomal RNA", at positions 524 to 776 of the family's 1533-position model. The record is from RNAcentral.